GACGAACGCUGGCGGCGUGCUUAACACAUGCCAGUCGAACGGAAAGGCCCUGCUUUCGUGGGGUGUUCGAGUGGCGAACGGGUGAGUAACACGUGAGUAACCUUCCCUUGACUUUGGGAUAACUUCAGGAAACUGGGGCUAAUACCGGAUAGCAGCUCCUGCUGCAGGGUGGGGGUCGGAAAGUUUCGGCGGAUGGGGAUGGACUCGCGGCUUAUUAGCUGGUUGGGGGGGUAGUGGCUUACCAAGCGUUUGACGGGUAGCCCGCCUGGGAGGGUGACCAGCCACCAUGGGACUGAGGUACGGCGCAGAGGGGUACGGGGGGCAGCAGGGGAAAAUAUUACCCAGUGGGCGGGAGCCUGAUGCAGCAGCGCCGGGUGCGGGAUGACGGCCUUCGGGUUGUAAACCGCAUUAGCCUGUGACGAAGCGUGAGUGACGGUAAUAGGUGAAGAAGCACCGGCUAACUACGUG
RNAcentral lists this ribosomal RNA (468 nucleotides) under uncultured bacterium. RNAcentral's name for it is "partial 16S ribosomal RNA". It matches the Rfam family "Bacterial small subunit ribosomal RNA", at positions 28 to 507 of the family's 1533-position model. The record is from RNAcentral.